GGUGGGAAAUUGUAGGCUGUCUCUGGGUGGACCAAACGGAAAAACUCCAGUUUAUCAAUGUGGAGGUUGCAGAUAGACUUCAUUGUGGGCAGCUUGGACAUCAUCUGUGGGGAAGGAGAGGCAAAGGUGUUCGUGUUCAUGAAGGUGUUUGCGGUGCGAGACAGAGAAAUGGUAGAAGAAUAAUCACCCGGGGUUAAAAGGACGGAAGCGCUCAACAGUGCCAUCUCUUCAUCAGACAGCUGUAGGCGACAGAGUCCUUUUCCAAGGUCAAACACUGCACUGACCAGGUCAUCACAACCUACACAAACACAGAAUAUUGUUAAAAUAAUAGUCAAAAAAUAAAUAGAUAGACAGCCUGAAGACUUCAAUAGUUCUGCUAAAUUAGACAACUGAUGUAGGAGAUAUCAGUAUGAGGACUAAUUGUUUUUCUUACUGCCAUCAAUGUUUAACAAGAGACAAAUGUUUUUAAAAGUUAGCUCCCAAAGACAAACCAAUGUACUGACUGAUAUUUUCCAUAAUUUAAUUAGUCAACUUCUAAAAAUUGAGUUUAAUUUUAUUUGCAUUUCCAAAGUCUAAUGUGUUUAUGUGUACUUCAUUUUACAUUGGUCACUUUUUUGUUCCUCUGUUUUAUCAUUUUUUUUAUCUCUCUGUGUAAUCUAAUAUUUUCAUAAAAGCCCUUCUAGGGAACAUGUAUUGCAAAUUAGCAUCAGCUAUAAACAGUGUGAAGCUUGCAUCGGACAGCUGUUCUCAGUUAGUCUAUGAAUACUUUAUCUGUCCCCAUCAAAUAAACCAUAAGUAAAUAAAUAAUACUGUUUGUUUUCACUUCCUCCGUUAGGGGCGUAUAUGUUGGUUUGUAGCUGGUGGAAGAAGAGACUCAAGACAUCUCUUUGGAAAUGUAAAGGAACAUUUAGCUGGAGACGUUCGGUUAUGUCUCCUCAAAGAGUCGGUUUUAGCUUUAACAAACUGCUGUUUGAAUGACACUGAAAAGACUGUCAAAAAAUAGAAAGAAUUUUAAGAAGAAUUACCACAGUUAUGUUAUUGUGAUAUUUCAAAAAUUACGAGUUGUGUUCGUCAGUGCAGAGGCAUCUCUUUUUAAGCUGUUAAUAAUGGAUUGAGAACAGUGAGAGCCUGGCAUUUUCGUACACAGCUUGGACUGUAUAGAUAGUAAUUGGUGCACAGUGCGUGUGGAAAAAAAGGACACGAUUUUCCAGCUUUCAAAAGGCGUAAGAAUAAGAUGCUUAAAUAAAAUGUAAAUUAUCUGAGUUUAUUAGCACAGCUAGAUUCCAAUCUGUUCCUCACCAAGUGCUUUGAAGAACUGAGCCGGUGCAAACUUUCCGUUGAAGAAUAUGGUGCUGUUGUUGACGUUGAACGCUCGGCACAUACGUAUCAGCAGGACCUCCAGACAGCCUGAAAGGUCAGCCACAGGUAGAAGCAAAGACAUGUAGAGAGAGAUGGAGAGAUGGAGAAGGAAGAAGAAGAAGGACGAGGGAGGAGGGAGGGACAGAGAAGGUCCAAGAUACUCCAACAUGAACAAAACAGACAACAAAAUGUGAAUAAUUUUGACCCAGAUUGGCGCACAGCAUAUACAAUAAAUUUUUUCAUCCAUUUAAAAUUAUCAGGAUUAAAAAAAAAAAAAAAAACAGUUCAACACAUUUACAGAGUUAAAAAAAAAGUAAAAUAUGUGUAUUUUAUGUGACAUAUAUAGGUGUU
Long non-coding RNA from Scophthalmus maximus (turbot), 1710 nucleotides. RefSeq lists it as uncharacterized. The transcript is spliced from 2 exons. The record is from RefSeq and is a predicted model, not a curated record. Lineage: Eukaryota; Metazoa; Chordata; Actinopteri; Pleuronectiformes; Scophthalmidae.